AACCGCGUAGCUCAGUUGGCAGAGCAUUGGGCUAGUAUUCCAAAGCUCGUAGGUUUGAUUUCCACCGUGGUCA
This 73-nucleotide transfer RNA is filed under the name Paramuricea clavata. It matches the Rfam family "tRNA". From Rfam's summary of the family: Transfer RNA (tRNA) molecules are approximately 80 nucleotides in length. Their secondary structure includes four short double-helical elements and three loops (D, anti-codon, and T loops). Further hydrogen bonds mediate the characteristic L-shaped molecular structure. tRNAs have two regions of fundamental functional importance: the anti-codon, which is responsible for specific mRNA codon recognition, and the 3' end, to which the tRNAs corresponding amino acid is attached (by aminoacyl-tRNA synthetases). tRNAs cope with the degeneracy of the genetic code in two manners: having more than one tRNA (with a specific anti-codon) for a particular amino acid; and 'wobble' base-pairing, i.e. permitting non-standard base-pairing at the 3rd anti-codon position. Lineage: Eukaryota; Metazoa; Cnidaria; Anthozoa; Malacalcyonacea; Plexauridae. The record is from Rfam by way of RNAcentral.